CUUAUUAUGCCGGUGCCAGCCCCCGUACUCUGACGGGAAGCGGCGUGUGGCACCCACACCUGAAUAACCAGCCGUGAAGU
RNAcentral lists this non-coding RNA (80 nucleotides) under Erwinia amylovora ATCC 49946. Its description in RNAcentral is "Peptidase-S11 RNA". It matches the Rfam family "Peptidase-S11 RNA". Rfam says of the family: Enterobacteria. Environment (Termite gut, fungus grower) Lineage: Bacteria; Pseudomonadati; Pseudomonadota; Gammaproteobacteria; Enterobacterales; Erwiniaceae. The record is from RNAcentral.